AAUAGCACUAAUGUUCAGGUCAAAGUGAAUCCUUUUAAGCACACAUGUCAGGAAUCAACCCUUAGGAAGGAUACAAUCAGUAGAGCCAAGUCAAGAUGGGUGGCAGAAGAAGUAAAAAAGUGGGUGAAAGAAAACCAACAAGUGGGUCCAAAGGAAUUGCAGAAGAACAUCAAAGAUAAGUUCAAGAUAGAUUUACCAUACAUGAGGUUGUUCAAUGGUAAACAACAUGCUAUGGAUUCUAUUUAUGGUAACUGGCAGGAAAGUUUUCAAUUGUUGUAUUCAUUCAAAGGUGAAGUGGAGAGGACAAGCCCAGGUAGUAUUGUAGAUAUUGAUCACCACACCGUGGAGUACACAUUCAGGGGAGUGACAAAGACCAAGGAAUGUUUUAGAAGGGUUUUUGUCUGCUUUGAGGCUUGUCGCCGGGGUUUUUUGGCAGGCUGCAGGCCUUAUUUGGCUAUUGAUGCCACUUUUCUCACAGGAAGGUUUAAAGGACAGUUAGUAGCAGCUUGUGCAGUUGAUGCACAUAGUUUUGUAUUUCCAGUUGCCUAUGGUGUGCUAGAGACAGAGUCUGAGGAGAGCUGGACUUGGUUUUUGCAUAAUCUCCGCCGGGCUAUUGCACAUCCCAAUGGGUUGGUCAUUCAUACAGAUGCCUGCAAAGGUUUAGAAGUGGCCGUGGACAAUGUGUUCCCUGGAGUAGAGCAUAGGGAAUGCAUGCGUCACCUUGCUGCAAAUUUCAUGAAGAAAUUCAAAGGAAAGGUGUAUACCGACAAUUUAUGGCCAGCAUCUUUGACAUGCAGUGUGAAGAAGCACAACUACCACUUGAGGCAGUUAUACAUGAAUCCCAAAGUGAAAGAAUACUUGGAAACACACCACUCCAAGUUAUGGGCUAGAAGCCAAUUCAGUAAAGUGAGCAAAGUUGACUAUGUGCACAAUAAUCUAGCAGAGUCUUUCAACUCAACGAUCCGGAAA
This 969-nucleotide ribosomal RNA is filed under the name Triticum aestivum (bread wheat). RNAcentral describes it as "partial small subunit ribosomal RNA". Lineage: Eukaryota; Viridiplantae; Streptophyta; Magnoliopsida; Poales; Poaceae. The record is from RNAcentral.